CCUACGGGUGGCAGCAGUGAGGAAUAUUGGUCAAUGGACGCAAGUCUGAACCAGCCAAGUAGCGUGCAGGAUGACUGCCCUAUGGGUUGUAAACUGCUUUUAUACGGGGAUAAACUUCAUUACGUGUAUUGUGUUGAAGGUACCGUAUGAAUAAGGAUCGGCUAAGUCCGUGCCAGCAGCCGCGGUAAUACGGAGGAUCCGAGCGUUAUCCGGAUUUAUUGGGUUUAAAGGGAGCGUAGGCGGACGCUUAAGUGAGUUGUGAAAUUUCGCGGCUCAACCGUGGAACUGCAGCUAAUACUGGGUGUCUUGAGUGCAGCAGAGGUAGGCGGAAUUCGUGGUGUAGCGGUGAAAUGCUUAGAGAUCACGAAGAACUCCGAUUGCGAAGGCAGCUUACCGUACUGUAACUGACGCUGAGGCUCGAAGGUGUGGGUAGCAAACAGGAUUAGAUACCCGAGUAGUC
RNAcentral lists this ribosomal RNA (460 nucleotides) under uncultured bacterium. Its description in RNAcentral is "partial 16S ribosomal RNA". It matches the Rfam family "Bacterial small subunit ribosomal RNA", at positions 338 to 795 of the family's 1533-position model. The record is from RNAcentral.